GGAGUUGGCCAAGCAAUCGCCGCCUAAUGUAUUAGGGGGAGGAAAGUCCGGGCUCCAUAGGGCAGGGUGCCAGGUAAUACCUGGGCGGUGUGAACCGACGACCAGUGCAACAGAGAGCAAACCGCCGAUGGCUGCUUGGCAGCACAGGUAAGGGUGAAAGGGUGCGGUAAGAGCGCACCGCGCGACUGGUAACAGUUCGUGGCACGGUAAACUCCACCCGGAGCAAGGCCAAAUAGGAACUCAUUGGCGCGGCCCGCGUUGAGUUCGGGUAGGCUGCUUGACAGUUAAGGCGACUUAACUGCUAGACGAAUGAUUGCUCACGACAGAACCCGGCUUAUCGGCCAACUCCAACU
RNAcentral lists this RNase P RNA (353 nucleotides) under Idiomarina tyrosinivorans. Its description in RNAcentral is "Bacterial RNase P class A". It matches the Rfam family "Bacterial RNase P class A". Rfam says of the family: Ribonuclease P (RNase P) is a ubiquitous endoribonuclease, found in archaea, bacteria and eukarya as well as chloroplasts and mitochondria. Its best characterised activity is the generation of mature 5'-ends of tRNAs by cleaving the 5'-leader elements of precursor-tRNAs. Lineage: Bacteria; Pseudomonadati; Pseudomonadota; Gammaproteobacteria; Alteromonadales; Idiomarinaceae. The record is from Rfam by way of RNAcentral.